GUCUACAGCCCUGCUACCCUGAACAAGCCCAAUCCUGGUUGAUCUCGGAAGCUAAGCAUUAAGGUUGGGCCUGGUUAGGACUUGAAUAGGAGACCACCUAGGAGGACCAGAUGCUAUAGGCA
Molecule: ribosomal RNA, 122 nt
Filed under: Pteropus alecto (black flying fox)
Lineage: Eukaryota; Metazoa; Chordata; Mammalia; Chiroptera; Pteropodidae
Source: RNAcentral